Molecule: non-coding RNA, 107 nt
Organism: Triticum aestivum (bread wheat)
Lineage: Eukaryota; Viridiplantae; Streptophyta; Magnoliopsida; Poales; Poaceae
Source: Rfam
GUCCCAAAAUUCUUGUCUUAAAUUUGUCUAAAUACGUAUGUAUCUAGUUACAUUUUAGUGUUAGAUACAUCCGUAUCUAAACAAAUGUAAGACAAGAAUUUUGGGAC